RNAcentral lists this transfer RNA (63 nucleotides) under Chloeia sp. r EEE-2022. Its description in RNAcentral is "tRNA-Asn". The record is from RNAcentral. Lineage: Eukaryota; Metazoa; Annelida; Polychaeta; Eunicida; Amphinomidae.
UAAGCUGAAGCCAAUAAGGCACCUAACUGUUAAUUAGGCCACUGUUUUCUAUAACCUGCUUAG